UACGUAGGGUGCAAGCGUUGUCCGGAAUCACUGGGCGUAAAGGGCGCGUAGGCGGCUCAUGAAGGCUGUGGUGAAAGUCCGGGGCUCAACCUCGGAUCGGCCGUGGCGACUCGUGGGCUGGAGCACUGUAGAGGCGGGUGGAAUUCCGGGUGUAGCGGUGGAAUGCGUAGAGAUCCGGAAGAACACCAGUGGCGAAGGCGGCCCGCUGGGCAGUGGCUGACGCUGAGGAGCGAAAGCGUGGGGAGCGAACAGG
This 253-nucleotide ribosomal RNA is filed under the name uncultured bacterium. Its description in RNAcentral is "partial 16S ribosomal RNA". It matches the Rfam family "Bacterial small subunit ribosomal RNA", at positions 524 to 776 of the family's 1533-position model. The record is from RNAcentral.